GGAAGUAAAAGUCGUAACAAGGUUUCCGUAGGUGAACCUGCGGAAGGAUCAAUAGAGAUUACCCCGGUUAGCACUCGGUUAGACGUCGCCGUCUAUUCUUCUACACUGUUACAUGUGAAACGGACAAACCUUUGGGCGGGGGCUCCGGGUGGACAUUUCACUCUAGUGAUAAAUGUGAAGUCUUAUUAAAAGAAAUUAAUAAAACAACUUUCAACAACGGAUCUCUUGGUUCUGGCAUCGAUGAAGAACGCAGCGAAAUGCGAUAAGUAAUGUGAAUUGCAGAAUUCAGUGAAUCAUCGAAUCUUUGAACGCACAUUGCGCCCCGUGGUAUUCCGCGGGGCAUGCCUGUUCGAGCGUCAUUUCACCACUCAAGCCUGGCUUGGUAUUGGGCGUCGCGGCCGGCCGCGCGCCUCAAAUUUCCGGCUGAGCUGUCCGUCUCCCAGCGUUGUGAAAUCGAACCGCUACGGAGCACGCACAGCCGCGGCCGUUAAAUAAACUUUCAUACAAGGUUGACCUCGGAUCAGGUAGGGAUACCCGCUGAACUUAAGCAUAUCAAUAAGCGGAGGA
RNAcentral lists this ribosomal RNA (567 nucleotides) under Gelidocalamus annulatus. Its description in RNAcentral is "eukaryotic LSU rRNA". The stretch from base 206 to 359 matches the Rfam family "5.8S ribosomal RNA". Lineage: Eukaryota; Viridiplantae; Streptophyta; Magnoliopsida; Poales; Poaceae. The record is from RNAcentral.